UUUCAAAGAGGGGUUCAUUCGCGAGUCAAACUUUCUCCUGCAACAGACCACAAACUUUCUCCUCUCCGCUCGACAAGCCAACUUUCUCCGGUGUACGUCUGUAGUAGGUGCCUGCCCACCCAAGUAAACACACGCGUCUGAAGAAUAAAAGGACUUGCACAAUAGAAGCACCACUCCCUGCUCUUUCUCUACAAGUGCGCAGAUUUUUUAUACGUACGAAUAUUGAAGAAAAAUGAUGGCCAAACUUGUGCUCCUUUUGCUUGUGAGCGUUUUGCUGGUUCAAAACCUUCAUGCUGCCGCAUUUGGCAAGACGCGUUCUUUCAACAAGUAUUUGUACAAGGCGCAGCCCUUCCGGGAAGAAGGAAUUCAUCCCUCGUGGUGGAAACGGGCUAGUCUUGCGGAUCCUGCAGAUGAUGAAGGAGACGAUGAACCAAACAUGAUUUCUGAGCGAGCAAGUCGCCCAUUUGGAACUUGUCAUCCCAAAAACUGGUGGAAGGUGCGAGACAAGAUUUGCAUCCCAUUCAUUUGCGUGAUGGAUGACGCCGCAAGGAAUGAAAUUCUACUCAACGAUGGCGAUUGCGUCUGCAUGUUGCCCUACUUCGGGUGCAAAAUUUGGCAAUAAGUGAGCAAAAUUAACAACGUGAUUGGUGAAAUCAAUGUGAUUAUCAGGUUUAACUAUGGAACUAUGGCAAUCAGUCAAUUUGAUGGACAAUAAGCAAAAAUUUCAAUAUCUCACUCUCGUGACAAUAACAAUCAAACUGUGAAACGUAGUCGAAAAAGUAGUUUUCGUCUUUAAUGUGAUGUCAAUAAUUAUGUAAAAAUUGAAAUUAGAAUUUCGAAAAAUCUUAUAAUAAA
This is a long non-coding RNA of Folsomia candida, 855 nucleotides long. RefSeq lists it as uncharacterized. Lineage: Eukaryota; Metazoa; Arthropoda; Collembola; Entomobryomorpha; Isotomidae. The record is from RefSeq and is a predicted model, not a curated record. The transcript has 4 exons.